RNAcentral lists this ribosomal RNA (442 nucleotides) under uncultured bacterium. RNAcentral's name for it is "partial 16S ribosomal RNA". It matches the Rfam family "Bacterial small subunit ribosomal RNA", at positions 338 to 795 of the family's 1533-position model. The record is from RNAcentral.
CCUACGGGUGGCAGCAGUAGGGAAUCUUUCACAAUGGGCGAAAGCCUGCUGGAGCAACGCCGCUUGCCGGAUGAAGGCCUUCGGGUUGUAAACUGCUUUUAUAAGCGAGAAAUAUGAUGGUAACUUAUGAAUAAGGAUCGGCUAACUACGUGCCAGCAGCCGCGGUCAUACGUAGGAUCCGAGAAUUAUCCGGAGUGACUGGGUGUAAAGAGUUGCGUAGGUGGCAUAAUAAGUAGCUAGUGAAAUCUGGUGGCUCAACCAUUCAGAUUAUUAGCUAAACUGUUAAGCUCGAGACCGUUAGGGGUAAGUGGAAUUUCUAGUGUAGGAGUGAAAUCCGUAGAUAUUAGAAGGAACACCAAUAGCGUAGGCAGGUUGCUGGGACGGUUCUGACACUAAGGCACGAAAGCGUAGGGAGCAAACGGGAUUAGAUACCCGAGUAGUC